This 426-nucleotide ribosomal RNA is filed under the name uncultured bacterium. RNAcentral describes it as "partial 16S ribosomal RNA". It matches the Rfam family "Bacterial small subunit ribosomal RNA", at positions 354 to 796 of the family's 1533-position model. The record is from RNAcentral.
GUGAGGAAUUUUCCGCAAUGGGCGAAAGCCUGACGGAGCAAUGCCGCGUGAAGGAUGAAGGCCUAUGGGUUGUAAACUUCUUUUCUCAGAAAAGAAUUAUGACGGUAUCUGAGGAAUAAGCAUCGACUAACUCUGUGCCAGCAGCCGCGGUAAGACAGAGGAUGCAAGCGUUAUCCGGAAUGAUUGGGCGUAAAGCGUCUGUAGGUUGUUUAAAAAGUAUUCUGUCAAAGAUUAGGGCUUAACCCUAGAUAGGCAGAAUAAACUUUUAAGCUAGAGUUUGGUAGAGGCAGAGAGAAGUCCCGGUGGAGCGGUGAAAUGCGUAGAUAUCGGGAGGAACACCAAAGGCGAAGGCACUCUGCUGGGCCAAUACUAACACUGAGAGACGAAAGCGAGGGGAGCAAAUGGGAUUAGAUACCCCGGUAGUCC